This 723-nucleotide ribosomal RNA is filed under the name Vibrio sp. 1A01. RNAcentral describes it as "bacterial SSU rRNA". It matches the Rfam family "Bacterial small subunit ribosomal RNA", at positions 33 to 735 of the family's 1533-position model. The record is from RNAcentral. Lineage: Bacteria; Pseudomonadati; Pseudomonadota; Gammaproteobacteria; Vibrionales; Vibrionaceae.
ACGCUGGCGGCAGGCCUAACACAUGCAAGUCGAGCGGAAACGACAACAUUGAAUCUUCGGAGGAUUUGUUGGGCGUCGAGCGGCGGACGGGUGAGUAAUGCCUAGGAAAUUGCCUUGAUGUGGGGGAUAACCAUUGGAAACGAUGGCUAAUACCGCAUAAUGCCUACGGGCCAAAGAGGGGGAYCUUCGGRCCUCUCGCGUCAAGAUAUGCCUAGGUGGGAUUAGCUAGUUGGUGAGGUAAUGGCUCACCAAGGCGACGAUCCCUAGCUGGUCUGAGAGGAUGAUCAGCCACACUGGAACUGAGACACGGUCCAGACUCCUACGGGAGGCAGCAGUGGGGAAUAUUGCACAAUGGGCGAAAGCCUGAUGCAGCCAUGCCGCGUGUAUGAAGAAGGCCUUCGGGUUGUAAAGUACUUUCAGUUGUGAGGAAGGGUGUGUAGUUAAUAGCUGCRCAUCUUGACGUUAGCAACAGAAGAAGCACCGGCUAACUCCGUGCCAGCAGCCGCGGUAAUACGGAGGGUGCGAGCGUUAAUCGGAAUUACUGGGCGUAAAGCGCAUGCAGGUGGUUCAUUAAGUCAGAUGUGAAAGCCCGGGGCUCAACCUCGGAACUGCAUUUGAAACUGGUGAACUAGAGUGCUGUAGAGGGGGGUAGAAUUUCAGGUGUAGCGGUGAAAUGCGUAGAGAUCUGAAGGAAUACCAGUGGCGAAGGCGGCCCCCUGGACA